Molecule: non-coding RNA, 196 nt
Filed under: Anaerobacillus alkalilacustris
Lineage: Bacteria; Bacillati; Bacillota; Bacilli; Caryophanales; Bacillaceae
Source: RNAcentral
AACAAAUAGACAUUAAUUGGUGUCCAAAUUUUGGGAGAAUAGGGAAGUCGAAAGAGGAUAAUGCUCUGAAACGACGCGGACCCACCACUGUACUCGGGAAUGAAACCUCAUUAUGCCACUGCGAUAACGUCAGCAGGAAGGCGAGGGAAUAAGAUGAACCGAAAGCCAGGAGACCUGCCAAUUAUGUACGAAUUGA